AUUGAACGCUGGCGGCAGGCCUAACACAUGCAAGUCGAGCGGAUGAAGGGAGCUUGCUCCUGGAUUCAGCGGCGGACGGGUGAGUAAUGCCUAGGAAUCUGCCUGGUAGUGGGGGAUAACGUCCGGAAACGGGCGCUAAUACCGCAUACGUCCUGAGGGAGAAAGUGGGGGAUCUUCGGACCUCCCGCUACCAGUUGAGCCUAGGUCGGUUUAGCUAGUUGGUGGGGUAAAUGCUUACCCAGGCGCCGAUCCGUAACUGGUCUAAGAGGAGGAUAAGUCACACUGGAACUGAGACACGGUCCAGACUCCUACGGUAGGCAGCAGUGGGGAAUAUUGGACGAUGGGCGAAAGCCUGAUCCAGCCAUGCCGCGUGUGUGAAGAAGGUCUUCGGAUUGUAAAGCACUUUAAGUUGGGAGGAAGGGCAGUAAGUUAAUACCUUGCUGUUUUGACGUUACCAACAGAAUAAGCACCGGCUAACUUCGUG
This 484-nucleotide ribosomal RNA is filed under the name uncultured bacterium. RNAcentral's name for it is "partial 16S ribosomal RNA". It matches the Rfam family "Bacterial small subunit ribosomal RNA", at positions 30 to 507 of the family's 1533-position model. The record is from RNAcentral.